ACGAACGCUGGCGGUGUGCUUAACACAUGCAAGUCGCGCGAGAACGACUCCUUCGGGAGGCUAGUAAGGCGGCGACGGGUGAGUAACACGUGAGCGAUCUACCCGACGUGGGGGACAACCCAGGGAAACCUGGGCUAAUACCGCGUACAGCGCUGGGAGUGAAGACCCGGCGUGAAAGCUGGCCUCUCCAUGGAAGCUAGCGCCGUCGGAGGAGCUCGCGGCCUAUCAGCUUGUUGGUGGGGUAACGGCCUACCAAGGCUAUGACGGGUAGCUGGCGUGAGAGCGCGAGCAGCCACACUGGGACUGAGACACGGCCCAGACUCCUACGGGAGGCAGCAGUGGGGAAUAUUGCGCAAUGGGCGAAAGCCUGACGCAGCGACACCGCGUGGGGGAGGAAGGCCUUAGGGUUGUAAACCCCUGUCAGACGGGACGAACCGUAUGUCGGCGAAUACCCGGCGUGCCUGACGGUACCGGUCAGAGGAAGCUCCGGCUAACUCCGUG
Molecule: ribosomal RNA, 501 nt
Filed under: uncultured bacterium
Lineage: Bacteria
Description: bacterial SSU rRNA
Rfam family: Bacterial small subunit ribosomal RNA
Source: RNAcentral